Molecule: unclassified non-coding RNA, 247 nt
Filed under: Hevea brasiliensis (rubber tree)
Lineage: Eukaryota; Viridiplantae; Streptophyta; Magnoliopsida; Malpighiales; Euphorbiaceae
Source: RNAcentral
CGGCGGGGUAACCGUCACCGUCUUCGAGUCGGGCCGGGGGCCCGGCGGCCGGAUGUCGCAGCGGAGGGAAAUCACUGGUAAUGGGGAGGAGCUGUUCUUUGAUCAUGGAGCUCCGUACUUCACUGUGAGCCAAGGAGAGGUGAUGGGUGUGGUUGGGUCGUGGGAGUCAAGGGGGUUAGUUGCUGAAUGGAAGGAGAGAUUCGGCUCGUUUGAUAAAACUACAGGCGAGUUUGCGUGUAUUGCAAAG